UCGUAACAAGGUCUCCGUAGGUGAACCUGCGGAGGGAUCAUUACACAAUAUGAAGGCGGGCUGGAUCCCUCCUGCUGGGCACUGCUUCACGGCGUGCGCAGUAGGGGCCGGCCCUGCUGAACUAUUCACCCGUGUCUUUUGCGUACCUCUUGUUUCCUGGGCGGGCUCGCCCGCCACCAGGACCAACCAUAAACCUUUUUGUAAUAGCAAUCCGCGUCAGUAACAACGUAAUUAAUUACAACUUUCAACAACGGAUCUCUUGGUUCUGGCAUCGAUGAAGAACGCAGCGAAAUGCGAUACGUAGUGUGAAUUGCAGAAUUCAGUGAAUCAUCGAAUCUUUGAACGCACAUUGCGCCCUUUGGUAUUCCAAAGGGCAUGCCUGUUCGAGCGUCAUUUGUACCCUCAAGCUUUGCUUGGUGUUGGGCGUCUUUGUCUCCAGCUUGCUGGAGACUCGCCUUAAAGUCAUUGGCAGCCGGCCUACUGGUUUCGGAGCGCAGCACAAGUCGCGCUCUUCAUCCAGCCAAGGUCAGCGUCCAGCAAGCCUUUUUUCAACCUUUGACCUCGGAUCAGGUAGGGAUACCCGCUGAACCUAAGCAUAUC
This 600-nucleotide unclassified non-coding RNA is filed under the name Alternaria abundans. RNAcentral's name for it is "sequence contains 18S rRNA gene, ITS1, 5.8S rRNA gene, ITS2, 28S rRNA gene". The stretch from base 240 to 393 matches the Rfam family "5.8S ribosomal RNA". Lineage: Eukaryota; Fungi; Ascomycota; Dothideomycetes; Pleosporales; Pleosporaceae. The record is from RNAcentral.